This is a long non-coding RNA of Medicago truncatula (barrel medic), 1080 nucleotides long. RefSeq lists it as uncharacterized. Lineage: Eukaryota; Viridiplantae; Streptophyta; Magnoliopsida; Fabales; Fabaceae. The transcript has 4 exons. The record is from RefSeq and is a predicted model, not a curated record.
UAGUCUACUUUUAUUCAUUUAGUAUUUAAUUUAGAGUCAUUUUAAAUAAAUUUUCAUUUAUUUAUUUAUUGAGUCAAUUAAUAUAUUACUACCUAUUAUUUCUAUGUAUCAAUGACUACAUGAUAUAACAAAGGUGUAGCCUACAUUUAAGUGCUAAUAGUAAUGGAAAAAUUACAAAUAGCAUGGUUUAAUUAGCACAUAUGGCCACACGUGCAACUUGUUUUGGUAUCAGAAAAAAACAAAUGGGCUUUGACCCAAUUGGGUAUUGAUUGACCCGAGAGGAACAAAAAGAUGGAAGUGAGGGAAUAACAAAGAGAGCCGCACAGGAACUAGGCAGGGAGCAACACGGUUUUGUGCAGCAAGCACAUUAUCACAUUUUUUUGAGAUUUUUUUGAUUUCUUAGAGAAAGAGAGCAUUUUUAGAGAGACACAAAACAAGGUGUUAGGUGUAGAUUCAACCCAAGAUUUAUUGAGACAUCAUGAGUCAAGGAUGGAAUCUUCAUCUUUUCUUCAUCCUUUGCAAAGCUAUCAUAGAUAUAUGUAGCUACAUCUACCCUUGUGGGUUUUGAGAAUUGCCGUCGUUUUCAAUUAUCGUGAGAAUCGUUGUUGUCCUUUUGAUUCUAGACAUUGUUAGAAUCGGUGUUGUUUCAAUAAUCACAUCAGGGGUAUUGAGCUGGAUAUUCACCAUCAUUUACAUAGUCAAGGACAAGCUUAGUACAAUGAACAGUUGGGGCAGGCUUGUAGCUGUUCUUGAGAUUGCAAAGGUCGACUCACCGAAGUUACUUGAAUAACUUUGGUGGAAAUCUUGUUUGUUUGGUACUAUAGACUAUACAUUAUCUAGAAGGAAAAUGCUACAGUACACGACAAAUUCUGUCGUCAAAUUUGCACAAAUCAACGUAUAAUUGUAGUUUGGUAUUUUAUCUUAAUUUUAAUUUGAGUCAAGGUGGCUAAAUAUGUCUCUGAAGUGCAAAGACACGUUUCCAUGUUGUGUAUUUUCCAAAUCAUGCAUGUCUUUGUCUCAUCUUACCAUUGACAUGUGGAAAGGUGGAUAUCCUUAGAUGUGUAUGAUAUCUCUUUGGUA